RNAcentral lists this long non-coding RNA (685 nucleotides) under Coffea arabica (coffee). Its description in RNAcentral is "long non-coding RNA (CARA_LNC000279)". Lineage: Eukaryota; Viridiplantae; Streptophyta; Magnoliopsida; Gentianales; Rubiaceae. The record is from RNAcentral.
CUUCAUAUCUGCAGCCUUUGCUUCUUCUUUCUCUGGCUUCUUCUGAGUAACAUCUUGAACAUCAGUCUGCUUAGAUGGACCAUCUAUUGGACUGGUUUUGUCUGCAGUUUUCUGCUGAACAGUCUCCUGAGGUCGUGCCUCAUCCUCAGGCUUCUGGAAUUGCCGUGGCUCAUCUGCAGGCUUCUGGGAUACUGUUGACUCAUCUGUAGGCCUCGAAAUGUCAGACUUAUCUGCAGGUUUCUGGGAUUGUUGUGGCUCAUCUGCAGGCUUCUGGGAUACUGUUGACUCAUCUGUAGGCCUCGAAAUGUCAGACUUAUCUGCAGGUUUCUGGGAUUGUUGUGGCUCAUCUGCAGGCUUCUGGGAUCCUCGUGACUCAUCUGUAGGUCUCAAAGAUUCAGGCUUAUGAUCUGCAGGCUUCUGGGAUCCUCGUGACUCAUCUGUAGGCCUCAAAGAUUCAGGCUUAUGAUCUGCAGGCUUCUGAGGUGUGGGACGUUCAGGGAUAGUCAAUUUGCUAUCUUGCUUGCCUCCUGGAGCGAUGAGUUUUGGUAGUCUAACGUACAAUAUGCCUCCGUCAAACUUGGCAGCAAUUUUUUUAGUGUUAAUAUCAGAUGAAAUACGAAAUUCUUUCUGGAAGCGGAUAACUUUAUUGUUUUCAGCCUCUCUCUCUCCACUGACCCUCAACUUU